GCCUGGGUGGCUCAGUCGGUUAAGCCACUGACUUCAGCUCAGGUCAUGAUCUCGCGGCCUGUGGGUUCGAGCCCCGCAUCGGGCU
RNAcentral lists this transfer RNA (85 nucleotides) under Felis catus (domestic cat). It matches the Rfam family "tRNA". Rfam says of the family: Transfer RNA (tRNA) molecules are approximately 80 nucleotides in length. The record is from Rfam by way of RNAcentral. Lineage: Eukaryota; Metazoa; Chordata; Mammalia; Carnivora; Felidae. RNAcentral also lists the same sequence under 1 other name.